This 301-nucleotide ribosomal RNA is filed under the name uncultured bacterium. RNAcentral describes it as "partial 16S ribosomal RNA". It matches the Rfam family "Bacterial small subunit ribosomal RNA", at positions 509 to 809 of the family's 1533-position model. The record is from RNAcentral.
CAGUAGCCGCGGUAAUACAGAGGAUGCAAGCGUUAUCCGGAAUGAUUGGGUGUAAAGCGUCUGUAGGUGGCUUUUCAAGUCCGCCGUCAGAUCCCUGGGCUCAACCCUGGACAGGCAGUGGAAACUACCAAGCUGGAGUACGGUAGUGGCAGAGGGAAUUUCCGGUGGAGAGGUGAAAUGCGUUGAGAUUGGAAAGAACACCAACGGUGAAAGCGCUCUGCUGGGCCGACACUGACACUGAGAGACGAAAUCUAGGGGAGCAAAUGGGAUUAGAUACCCCCGUAGUCCCUGUCUCUUAUAA